RNAcentral lists this long non-coding RNA (1007 nucleotides) under Ananas comosus (pineapple). RNAcentral's name for it is "long non-coding RNA (ACOM_LNC038671)". The record is from RNAcentral. Lineage: Eukaryota; Viridiplantae; Streptophyta; Magnoliopsida; Poales; Bromeliaceae.
GACAAAUCCGCCGUAUACAAAGGAAUUUUUUCUAUAUACGAAGCGACAGCUGUACCUGUAAAACAUACAAUACUACAAAUAGUAGUAUAGAGCUGCUAGAAGAACUAGUAAAGUAAAAGAAACCGAGUUCCAUAUACAUACACUGAAUCCCAGAGUACAAAACUACUCGCGCUGGCGAGUUAAAAGUCUGUAUGUACAUGAACCCAAACCAAAACAUCUACCUGCAGUAGGGGUGCCUCUAGCUCUGCUCCUCGGGUAGGGCUCUAACUCGCGACGCCCUUGCUUAGAUCCUGAUCAGCAACAGCAGCAGCCGAAGACGAAGGCUCUGCAAAAACGGGAGUAACAACUGAGCGUGAGAACUACUGUAAAAACAAGUAGUCCUCAGUGGGUACCGCCCAAAACCACAUCGGUCCACCCACUAAGUCUACAGAAGGGAGCAAGAAUAGUCAGAAAAGCAGAAAGUAAACUCUACCGCUAUCAAUCACUACACUAUCAUGCUCUACACUAACUAAUUGUAGGAAAUGUCAAAUCUGACGCAAUCCAAUCGGGACUGUAAGCCUACCCGUCCCUGGGACUGUGAAUACACCCGUCCCUGCCCAGUUGCGACUAUCCAGCUCCAUCCACACUAACUGGUCCGUGGAGAGCAAGUCCAACCGGCAUGAGCGACACCAACGCGAAAGCACAAAGCCCGACUCCGGAGUGGCACUCGUGGGCGCUACCCAACCGAGUAUGCAGCGUAUCUCUGUCAAGCACAAACAGGCUCCAACUAGCCAAAGUCAAGUGAACAGGGUCAAAACAGGUCUACAAACCAACCCACGUGCCAUCGGCACAAUCUGUGACCAAAAUAAGAAUCUGGGUCCACCGCUAAUCCGAACGGCACCCAACGACCCGAAAUAGUCUAAACUCUGCUGAAAAAAGCAAGCUCGACACCCCAGCACGAGCGUAAAUGCCUUCUAACUACCCCAGAUAUCCAUCGCACUGAUACUGCAACGAUACAAUCGAACCAC